AAUGCAGCAUUUCCUCAGACAAGCCAGCCUGCUGAAGACUGUGAGAAAAGGUGGUAAAAUGUAUUGGCAACAUCUCGCAAAGAUAUUGCAGCAUACAAGGAAAGCAUGUGUGCCACAGGUGGAGGCCCUCCAUGUAAUCCUCUGUCUGAGAUUGCUGAAAUGGUAGAGGAGAUACUGGGAACGGCCAACCCUUCCAUUUGUGGCAUUGCAGAUGCCCCGGACCCUGCACUGCUCAAAUUAAGAGUUACAAAGAUGUGCUGAUGACGCUGGAGCCGGGCCAUCUGACGUGCCACAUUGCACCACAUCUCAGGAUGUCUUCCUGUGUCCUCCAAAAGAGGCUUCUGCUUCACAAGACACAGGGUUUGCACCGAGUGUA
Sinocyclocheilus rhinocerous is the source of this 376-nucleotide long non-coding RNA. RefSeq lists it as uncharacterized. Lineage: Eukaryota; Metazoa; Chordata; Actinopteri; Cypriniformes; Cyprinidae. The transcript has 3 exons. The record is from RefSeq and is a predicted model, not a curated record.